This 63-nucleotide transfer RNA is filed under the name Rattus norvegicus (Norway rat). It matches the Rfam family "tRNA". Rfam says of the family: Transfer RNA (tRNA) molecules are approximately 80 nucleotides in length. Their secondary structure includes four short double-helical elements and three loops (D, anti-codon, and T loops). Further hydrogen bonds mediate the characteristic L-shaped molecular structure. tRNAs have two regions of fundamental functional importance: the anti-codon, which is responsible for specific mRNA codon recognition, and the 3' end, to which the tRNAs corresponding amino acid is attached (by aminoacyl-tRNA synthetases). tRNAs cope with the degeneracy of the genetic code in two manners: having more than one tRNA (with a specific anti-codon) for a particular amino acid; and 'wobble' base-pairing, i.e. permitting non-standard base-pairing at the 3rd anti-codon position. The record is from Rfam by way of RNAcentral. Lineage: Eukaryota; Metazoa; Chordata; Mammalia; Rodentia; Muridae.
GGGGAUUUUGCUCAGUGGUAGAGCGCUUGCCUAGCAAGCACAAGGCCCUGGUUUCAGUCCCCA